GGUGGCUCAGUGGUAGAGUGCUCGCCUGGCAUGCUAGAGGCCCUGGGUUCGAUUCCUCAGCACCA
This 65-nucleotide transfer RNA is filed under the name Dipodomys ordii (Ord's kangaroo rat). It matches the Rfam family "tRNA". From Rfam's summary of the family: Transfer RNA (tRNA) molecules are approximately 80 nucleotides in length. The record is from Rfam by way of RNAcentral. Lineage: Eukaryota; Metazoa; Chordata; Mammalia; Rodentia; Heteromyidae.